Molecule: transfer RNA, 63 nt
Filed under: Cucujoidea sp. 7 KM-2017
Lineage: Eukaryota; Metazoa; Arthropoda; Insecta; Coleoptera
Description: tRNA-Phe
Source: RNAcentral
AUUUAAAUAGCUUAAUAAGAGCGUAAUAUUGAAGAUAUUAAGGUAAUGUUAAAUUUUUAAAUA